RNAcentral lists this ribosomal RNA (627 nucleotides) under uncultured Bacteroides sp. RNAcentral's name for it is "bacterial SSU rRNA". It matches the Rfam family "Bacterial small subunit ribosomal RNA", at positions 89 to 715 of the family's 1533-position model. The record is from RNAcentral. Lineage: Bacteria; Pseudomonadati; Bacteroidota; Bacteroidia; Bacteroidales; Bacteroidaceae.
UGACGACCGGCGCACGGGUGAGUAACACGUACCCAACCUACCAUCUCUUCGGGGAUAGCCUUUCGGAAGAAAGAUUAAUACCCGAUAGUAUAGCGAGAGGGCAUCCUUUUGCUAUUAAAGAAUUUCGGUGUUUGAUGGGGAUGCGUUCCAUUAGAUUGUUGGUGAGGUAACGGCUCACCAAGUCUUCGAUGGAUAGGGGUUCUGAGAGGAAGGUCCCCCACAUUGGAACUGAGACACGGUCCAAACUCCUACGGGAGGCAGCAGUGAGGAAUAUUGGUCAAUGGACGAGAGUCUGAACCAGCCAAGUAGCGUGAAGGAUGAAGGCCCUAUGGGUCGUAAACUUCUUUUAUAGGGGAAUAAAGUGCGGAACGUGUUCCGUUUUGUAUGUACCCUACGAAUAAGGAUCGGCUAACUCCGUGCCAGCAGCCGCGGUAAUACGGAGGAUCCGAGCGUUAUCCGGAUUUAUUGGGUUUAAAGGGAGCGUAGGUGGACGUAUAAGUCAGUUGUGAAAGUUUGCGGCUCAACCGUAAAAUUGCAGUUGAUACUGUAUGUCUUGAGUGUACAAGAGGUGGGCGGAAUUCGUGGUGUAGCGGUGAAAUGCUUAGAUAUCACGAAGAACUCCGAUUG